Molecule: ribosomal RNA, 253 nt
Filed under: uncultured bacterium
Lineage: Bacteria
Description: partial 16S ribosomal RNA
Rfam family: Bacterial small subunit ribosomal RNA
Source: RNAcentral
UACGGAGGGUGCAAGCGUUAUCCGGAUUCACCGGGUUUAAAGGGUGCGUAGGCGGGCAGGUAAGUCCGUGGUGAAAUCUCUGAGCUUAACUCAGAAACUGCCAUGGAUACUAUUUGUCUUGAAUAUUGUGGAGGUAAGCGGAAUAUGUCAUGUAGCGGUGAAAUGCUUAGAUAUGACAUAGAACACCAAUUGCGAAGGCAGCUUACUACACAGUUAUUGACGCUGAGGCACGAAAGCGUGGGGAUCAAACAGG